AUGGCGCCCAAGCGGAAGGGUGGCAACGGCCGGAAGAAGACCGUCCUCCUCCCGAUCGUCAAGGAAGACGCCCGCUAUGUGUGCUUCUCAAAGCGCAAGCGGGGGCUGUUCAGCAAGGCCAGCGCGCUGUCCCUGCUCACCGGCGCCCAGGUGGCCGCCGUCGUCUUCUCGCCCAGCGGCAAGGUCUUCUUUUUCGCCCACCCCUCCGUCGACGCCGUCGUCAACCGCUUCAUGGCGGGGGACGCCGCGUUGGUCAAGGCCGCGCCGCCGACAACGGGUUGCAGACGCUGCAGCUGCAGCACGGCGAGAUGCGCUCCGAGCUGGCGGACCAGAAGAAGCGGAAGAAGCGCGCUGAGGAGGCCCUGGACAAGGAGCGCGCUGCUGGGGACCAGAUUGCCUCGUGGCUCCACCCCGACGCGCGCGACAUGGGGCAUGACGACAUGGCAGCCUUCGCCGCCGCGCUCUUGCAGGUCCAGGCCGCCGUCUCCGGACGCGCCAACCAGGUUCUCGUCGAGGCCUUUCGCGUCGACAUCAGCCGUAUGCUCCAGGUGCCCCCGCCGCCGCCCCCUCCGCUCCAGCUCUUCGGUGCCAGCACCUUUGAGUUCGGUAGCAGCAGCAGCAGCGCCAACGCCGGGAUGGAGAUGCCACCGCCGCCUGACUUCCCCGCAGUGA
Molecule: ribosomal RNA, 672 nt
Filed under: Triticum aestivum (bread wheat)
Lineage: Eukaryota; Viridiplantae; Streptophyta; Magnoliopsida; Poales; Poaceae
Description: partial small subunit ribosomal RNA
Source: RNAcentral